GCUGGGUGUGGUGGCACGCACCUGUAGUCCCAACUACUUGGGAAGCUGAGGUGGGAGGAUGACUUGAGCCCAGGAAGUCAAGCCUGCAGUGAGCCAUAAUUGCACCACUGCACUCUAGCCUGGGCAACAGAGUAAGAUCCUGUCUCAA
This is an unclassified non-coding RNA of Pongo abelii (Sumatran orangutan), 148 nucleotides long. It matches the Rfam family "Metazoan signal recognition particle RNA". From Rfam's summary of the family: The signal recognition particle (SRP) is a universally conserved ribonucleoprotein. It is involved in the co-translational targeting of proteins to membranes. Lineage: Eukaryota; Metazoa; Chordata; Mammalia; Primates; Hominidae. The record is from Ensembl.